GGCUAACGCUGGCGGCGUGUCUUAGCCAUGCAAGUCGAGCGGACUUAUGGGGUAACUUAUAAGUCAGCGGCGGACGGCGGAGUAACACGUAGCUAACCUACCCUCUGGACGGGGAUAACCUACCGAAAGGUGGGCUAAUACCCGAUGUAGUCAUCCUGUAUAGGGGUGAUGAAAGGUGGGCUUCUGUUUACAAGCUCAUGCUAGAGGAGGGGGCUGCGGCCUAUCAGGUAGUUGGUAGGGUAAUAGCCUACCAAGCCGAUGACGGGUAGCCGGCCUGAGAGGGUGACCGGCCCGAGGGGCACUGAGAUACGGGUCCCACUCCUACGGGAGGCAGCAGGCUAGAAAUUUGGGCAAUGGGGGAAACCCUGACCCAGUGACGCCGCGUGCAGGAAGGAGCCCUUCGGGGUGUAAACUGCUGUCGUGUAGGGAGAAGGGUACUAAGGUGAACAAUCUUAGUACUUGACGGUACUACAGGAGGAAGCCCAGGCUAACCUCGUG
Molecule: ribosomal RNA, 498 nt
Filed under: uncultured bacterium
Lineage: Bacteria
Description: bacterial SSU rRNA
Rfam family: Bacterial small subunit ribosomal RNA
Source: RNAcentral